CCUACGGGAGGCAGCAGUGAGGAAUAUUGGUCAAUGGGCGUAAGCCUGAACCAGCCAAGUCGCGUGAGGGAUGAAGGUUCUAUGGAUUGUAAACCUCUUUUAUAAGGGAAUAAAGUGCGGGACGUGUCCCGUUUUGUAUGUACCUUAUGAAUAAGGAUCGGCUAACUCCGUGCCAGCAGCCGCGGUAAUACGGAGGAUCCGAGCGUUAUCCGGAUUUAUUGGGUUUAAAGGGUGCGUAGGCGGCCUUUUAAGUCAGCGGUGAAAGUCUGUGGCUCAACCAUAGAAUUGCCGUUGAAACUGGGAGGCUUGAGUAUGUUUGAGGCAGGCGGAAUGCGUGGUGUAGUGGUGAAAUGCUUAGAUAUCACGCAGAGCCCCGAUUGCGAAGGCAGCCUGCCAAGCCAUGACUGACGCUGAUGCACGAAAGCGUGGGGAUCAAACAGGAUUAGAUACCCCAGUAGUC
RNAcentral lists this ribosomal RNA (460 nucleotides) under uncultured bacterium. RNAcentral describes it as "partial 16S ribosomal RNA". It matches the Rfam family "Bacterial small subunit ribosomal RNA", at positions 338 to 795 of the family's 1533-position model. The record is from RNAcentral.